RNAcentral lists this ribosomal RNA (1526 nucleotides) under Klebsiella pneumoniae subsp. pneumoniae Ecl8. Its description in RNAcentral is "bacterial SSU rRNA". It matches the Rfam family "Bacterial small subunit ribosomal RNA". The record is from RNAcentral. Lineage: Bacteria; Pseudomonadati; Pseudomonadota; Gammaproteobacteria; Enterobacterales; Enterobacteriaceae.
AGAGUUUGAUCAUGGCUCAGAUUGAACGCUGGCGGCAGGGCCUAACACAUGCAAGUCGAGCGGUAGCACAGAGAGCUUGCUCUCGGGUGACGAGCGGCGGACGGGUGAGUAAUGUCUGGGAAACUGCCUGAUGGAGGGGGAUAACUACUGGAAACGGUAGCUAAUACCGCAUAAUGUCGCAAGACCAAAGUGGGGGACCUUCGGGCCUCAUGCCAUCAGAUGUGCCCAGAUGGGAUUAGCUAGUAGGUGGGGUAACGGCUCACCUAGGCGACGAUCCCUAGCUGGUCUGAGAGGAUGACCAGCCACACUGGAACUGAGACACGGUCCAGACUCCUACGGGAGGCAGCAGUGGGGAAUAUUGCACAAUGGGCGCAAGCCUGAUGCAGCCAUGCCGCGUGUGUGAAGAAGGCCUUCGGGUUGUAAAGCACUUUCAGCGGGGAGGAAGGCGAUUUAAGGUUAAUAACCUUAGGUCGAUUGACGUUACCCGCAGAAGAAGCACCGGCUAACUCCGUGCCAGCAGCCGCGGUAAUACGGAGGGUGCAAGCGUUAAUCGGAAUUACUGGGCGUAAAGCGCACGCAGGCGGUCUGUCAAGUCGGAUGUGAAAUCCCCGGGCUUAACCUGGGAACUGCAUUCGAAACUGGCAGGCUAGAGUCUUGUAGAGGGGGGUAGAAUUCCAGGUGUAGCGGUGAAAUGCGUAGAGAUCUGGAGGAAUACCGGUGGCGAAGGCGGCCCCCUGGACAAAGACUGACGCUCAGGUGCGAAAGCGUGGGGAGCAAACAGGAUUAGAUACCCUGGUAGUCCACGCCGUAAACGAUGUCGAUUUGGAGGUUGUGCCCUUGAGGCGUGGCUUCCGGAGCUAACGCGUUAAAUCGACCGCCUGGGGAGUACGGCCGCAAGGUUAAAACUCAAAUGAAUUGACGGGGGCCCGCACAAGCGGUGGAGCAUGUGGUUUAAUUCGAUGCAACGCGAAGAACCUUACCUGGUCUUGACAUCCACAGAACUUUCCAGAGAUGGAUUGGUGCCUUCGGGAACUGUGAGACAGGUGCUGCAUGGCUGUCGUCAGCUCGUGUUGUGAAAUGUUGGGUUAAGUCCCGCAACGAGCGCAACCCUUAUCCUUUGUUGCCAGCGGUACCGGCCGGGAACUCAAAGGAGACUGCCAGUGAUAAACUGGAGGAAGGUGGGGAUGACGUCAAGUCAUCAUGGCCCUUACGACCAGGGCUACACACGUGCUACAAUGGCAUAUACAAAGAGAAGCGACCUCGCGAGAGCAAGCGGACCUCAUAAAGUAUGUCGUAGUCCGGAUUGGAGUCUGCAACUCGACUCCAUGAAGUCGGAAUCGCUAGUAAUCGUAGAUCAGAAUGCUACGGUGAAUACGUUCCCGGGCCUUGUACACACCGCCCGUCACACCAUGGGAGUGGGUUGCAAAAGAAGUAGGUAGCUUAACCUUCGGGAGGGCGCUUACCACUUUGUGAUUCAUGACUGGGGUGAAGUCGUAACAAGGUAACCGUAGGGGAACCUGCGGUUG